RNAcentral lists this ribosomal RNA (439 nucleotides) under uncultured Steroidobacter sp. Its description in RNAcentral is "bacterial SSU rRNA". It matches the Rfam family "Bacterial small subunit ribosomal RNA", at positions 338 to 774 of the family's 1533-position model. Lineage: Bacteria; Pseudomonadati; Pseudomonadota; Gammaproteobacteria; Steroidobacterales; Steroidobacteraceae. The record is from RNAcentral.
CCUACGGGGGGCAGCAGUAGGGAAUCUUCCGCAAUGGACGAAAGUCUGACGGAGCAACGCCGCGUGAGUGAUGAAGGCUUUCGGGUCGUAAAACUCUGUUGUCAGGGAAGAACAUCCGGGAUAACCUCCCGGUCUGACGGUACCUGAUCAGAAAGCCCCGGCUAACUACGUGCCAGCAGCCGCGGUAAUACGUAGGGGGCAAGCGUUGUCCGGAAUUAUUGGGCGUAAAGCGCGCGCAGGCGGUUUCUUAAGUCUGGUGUGAAAGCCCGCAGCUCAACUGCGGAGGGCCACUGGAAACUGGGAAGCUUGAGUAUAGGAGAGGAGAGCGGAAUUCCACGUGUAGCGGUGAAAUGCGUAGAUAUGUGGAGGAACACCCGUGGCGAAAGCGGCUCUCUGGCCUAUAACUGACGCUGAGGCGCGAAAGCGUGGGGAGCAAACA